Molecule: ribosomal RNA, 498 nt
Filed under: uncultured bacterium
Lineage: Bacteria
Description: partial 16S ribosomal RNA
Rfam family: Bacterial small subunit ribosomal RNA
Source: RNAcentral
AUUGAACGCUGGCGGCAUGCUUUACACAUGCAAGUCGAACGGUAACAGGUCUUCGGAUGCUGACGAGUGGCGAACGGGUGAGUAAUACAUCGGAACGUGCCUAGUAGUGGGGGAUAACUACUCGAAAGAGUAGCUAAUACCGCAUGAGAUCUACGGAUGAAAGCAGGGGACCUUCGGGCCUUGUGCUACUAGAGCGGCUGAUGGCAGACUAGGUAGUUGGUGGGGUAAAGGCUUACCAAGCCUGCGAUCUGUAGCUGGUCUGAGAGGACGACCGGCAACACUGGGACUGAGACACGGCCCAGAAUCCUACGGGAGGCAGCAGUGGGGAAUGUUGGACAAUGGGCGAAAGCCUGAUCCAGCAAUGCCGCGUGCAGGAUGAAGGCCCUCGGGUUGUAAACUGCUUUUGUACGGAACGAAAAGCCUGGGGCUAAUAUCCCCGGGUCAUGACGGUACCGUAAGAAUAAGCACCGGCUAACUACGUGCCAGCAGCCGCAGUAA